RNAcentral lists this ribosomal RNA (402 nucleotides) under uncultured bacterium. Its description in RNAcentral is "bacterial SSU rRNA". It matches the Rfam family "Bacterial small subunit ribosomal RNA", at positions 355 to 774 of the family's 1533-position model. The record is from RNAcentral.
UCGGGAAUUUUGGGCAAUGGGCGAAAGCCUGACCCAGCAACGCCGCGUGAGGGAUGAAGUAUUUCGGUAUGUAAACCUCGAAAGAAUGGGAAGAAUAAAUGACGGUACCAUUUAUAAGCUCCGGCUAACUACGUGCCAGCAGCCGCGGUAAUACGUAGGGAGCAAGCGUUGUUCGGAUUUACUGGGCGUAAAGGGCGCGUAGGCGGCGCGGUAAGUCACUUGUGAAAUCUCUGAGCUUAACUCAGAACGGCCAAGUGAUACUACUGUGCUAGAGUGCGGAUGAGGCAACCGGAAUUCUUGGUGUAGCGGUGAAAUGCGUAGAUAUCAAGAGGAACACCUGAGGCGAAGGCGGGUUGCUGGGCCGACACUGACGCUGAUGCGCGAAAGCCAGGGGAGCAAACG